AUUAUAAAAAGGAAGGGGCUAAGGACUGCGGAGGACAUUAGUGAAUAUUAGGGCGUCCAACUUAACUUGGAGCCCGAACUCUCACUUUCUAACCCUGUGCAUCUGUUUCUGGUCAGUAGCUCUCUCGGGAGUGAACGCCAUUCACUUAAAACACAAAGUCUAUGAAUGUAUAAAAUUUAUAACAAAACAAAACUUUCAACAACGGAUCUCUUGGCUCUCGCAUCGAUGAAGAACGCAGCGAAAUGCGAUAAGUAAUGUGAAUUGCAGAAUUCAGUGAAUCAUCGAAUCUUUGAACGCACCUUGCGCUCUCUGGUAUUCCGGAGAGCAUGCCUGUUUGAGUGUCAUGAAAUCUUCAACCCUCUCUUUUCUUAGUGAAUCGAGAGGUGCUUGGAUCCUGAGCGCUGCUGGCUUCGGCCUAGCUCGUUCGUAAUGCAUUAGCAUCCGCAAUCGAACUUCGGAUUGACUUGGCGUAAUAGACUAUUCGCUGAGGAUUCUGGUCUCGUACCAGAGCCGGGUUGGGUUAAAGGAAGCUUCUAAUCCUAAAAGUCUAACUUUUGAUUAGAUCUCACAUCAGGUAGGACUACCCGCUGAACUUAAGCAUAUCAAUAAGCGGAGGAAAAGAAACUAACAAGGAUUCCCCUAGUAGCGGCGAGCGAAGCGGGAAGAGCUCAAAUUUAUAAUCUGGCACUUUCAGUGUCCGAGUUGUAAUCUCUAGAAGUGUUUUCCGCGUUGGACCGCACACAAGUCUGUUGGAAUACAGCGGCACAGUGGUGACACCCCCGUACACGGUGCGGACGCCCAGCGCUUUGUGAUACACUUUCGAAGAGUCGAGUUGUUUGGGAAUGCAGCUCAAAUUGGGUGGUAAAUUCCAUCUAAAGCUAAAUAUUGGCGAGAGACCGAUAGCGAACAAGUACCGUGAGGGAAAGAUGAAAAGCACUUUGGAAAGAGAGUUAACAGUACGUGAAAUUGUUGGAAGGGAAACGCUUGAAGUCAGACUUGCUUGCCGGAGCUUGCUUCGGUUUGCAGGCCAGCAUCAGUUUUCCGGGGUGGAUAAUGGCGGUUAGAAGGUAGCAGCUUCAGCUGUGUUAUAGCUUUCCGCUGGAUACAUCCUGGGGGACUGAGGAACGCAGCGUGCUUUUAGCGGGGGUUUCGACCUCUCACGCUAGGAUGACUGGUAGCAGGGGG
This 1185-nucleotide ribosomal RNA is filed under the name Rhodotorula paludigena. RNAcentral describes it as "eukaryotic LSU rRNA". The stretch from base 561 to 1185 matches the Rfam family "Eukaryotic large subunit ribosomal RNA", at positions 1 to 613 of the family's 3401-position model. Lineage: Eukaryota; Fungi; Basidiomycota; Microbotryomycetes; Sporidiobolales; Sporidiobolaceae. The record is from RNAcentral.